Molecule: long non-coding RNA, 2085 nt
Organism: Megalobrama amblycephala (Wuchang bream)
Lineage: Eukaryota; Metazoa; Chordata; Actinopteri; Cypriniformes; Xenocyprididae
Exons: 4
Source: RefSeq, a predicted model, not a curated record
ACGCCAUCGCAUGGUCUCUGACACACGUUGAGACACAUUACAUAAUCUAAACGUUCAGAUCAAGCCAUACAUCCGAUUAGUUCCGCUAAUAAAUAAGUUUAUUGUAAUUUCAAUCAAUUUUAAAAGUCCCAAUUCAGUUUGUUACAGCCAUGAUUCAUCUUAUAAAAGUCAUUUAGUAGCCUACCUAACUAUUAUGUGCUUCAAUGAAUUGUUGACAAUGGUAUUGCGAACCGGUUCAAGUGAUUCUUUAAAAAGAUCCGAAUCAAAAAACUAAACUACAGUUGCUUCUCAAUGCAUAGUAUCUGCCCCCCUUAAUUCUACAAAAGCUAAACAACUAUCAGUCACUGAAUGUCCUCAUUUGCAAAUAAGGAUUCUCUCAUAAAACGAGGUGAGGCUAAGUUCUUAAAGGGAUAUACAGUAGUAUGCCACUUUGAUGGAGUGAUUACAGAAGCAGGCAAGACACAACAGGCACAACACAUGGGUGUGUGAAGAAAGCGAGAGCAGUUUGGGGUCUUGAUGCGAUAAUCCCACAUAACAGUAGAAAGGGAGCACAAUUUCAUUUGUAGUGACAAACAUCAUGGAUACACACUGAAAGAGCCACGCUACCUUCUGGUCUGUACUGGGCAAUGAUGGUCACCGUCUGUCCAGCCCUCUUCAGCGCAGCAGCCGCCUGCUCAUGGGUAGCAUUGCGCAGGUUUACACCAUUCACCUGGGACAAUACCAUGCUCUCCGCUCAGGUCGGCUGGCCCUCCUGCCAAGAUGAAAGACACGAAGAUGCCCUCUCCGUCCUCCCCGCCCACGAUGUUGAAUCCCAAACCUGUGGAACCCUUGUGUAGAAGGAUCUUCCGCGGCUCCCUGCCAAGCAGAACGACAGUGUUAAGGAUCAGGCUGGCCUCGGAUCACAAAAGCAGCAGAGAGAGGAAAUCGAGAAGAACAGAUCCAUGAGAAAACACAACGCUCUAGUCACGACUAGAGGAGACUGGCAAACUUUCAUCCACAACAAAGCUAAACAACAAGUGUUCCAGAUUUGUUCCAGAAAUGAGCGCUAACACAUACACAUGAUAACUAACACACUUUCCCACACAGGCACAAAACGCAUUCACACAUUGAGCUCAUUCCUGCCUUGUGCAGGACUGCGGUACUGUUUUAGCAGCCGUGAUUCAUCUGCAGGCAGAGAGGCAUUCCAGACUGCCCAGAGCUGGCGCACCAGAGAGACUCGGCUACAUUCAGAGGCCGGCAAAAACCCUUUCCGCAUGUACUGCAGAAUAACCCCAAAACCAGUUCCCAAAAAUGCAACACACAUCAACAUUUGUAGUGACAGCUCCCUGCUUUCAGCAGGGCAGUACGCAUGUUUCUCAUUAGAAUUCUGCACUCGGCUAGCUCUCGACAUGAGCCAUUCUAUCUCGAUUGCCCAUGGUGCAGCUUUAUGAUGCUGAAAACAGCAAUUUUAUGUGACCGGACAAGCUGUGCUUUUAGGAAAGGUUUGGUCCAUAUAUGAAACAUACAUAAUUACACAAACUGACUAUGAUGUACUUUGUGUGAUCUACUGGUGUACUGGAGUGUGAAUCAAUUUACCGAGAACCUUAUGUCCAUAAAUUUAAUGCAAGUGUUUUUAAUCACCUUUUUAACCUCUGUUUAUUACAUGACACGCAGUAAAACCAUGACCUGAACAAUAGUUCCCUGUUUACUGUCGCUCUAAUGGGUCUCUUGUAUACAACAUUAUUUAUUAGUUCCUCUCUUUUGCAGUCUAUCCUGCUCCAAGUUGACAAACUGCAAAAGCUCACACACACUCAUUUUGAACAUGUAUGCCAAACAACUGUGAUUGAUUAACCUGUUAAAACUCCAGACAGGGUUGUGUAUAAUUCAGAAUUGAAAAAUUUGCUUCUUUUUAGUUUAAGAAGUUGAUUUUCCACAUAAAGUUUAAUUCAAGUGACAUGAAGAGGAAUUUAAUCGCAAUUCAAAGAUAUUCAACAGACAGUGGGUUCUGGGAAAUUAAAGCUGCAGUCCAUAAGUUUUGCCAUCUCUGUUUGAAACCUGCAAAUUGCAGUUAUUUGCGAAAUAAUCAUCUUUACGUGGGUUGUGCAU